UUUUUUUUCAAUUUAGCCAUUCAAUUACAAUUUCUUAUGUGUUUUAUUUUUCAUUUCAGUCAUUAUUCUUUUAAUUUUUCAUUUCAUUUUAUAGUCUUAGUCCUUAUUCUUUUAAUUUAUUUUUUCAUUUUUUUUUCAAUUUAUUCCUUCAAUUAUGGUUUUUGUAUAUGAUGUUUUUCAAUUCGGUCAUUCUGCUUUGGAUUUUUUAUUUUUCCCUUGGCUUUUUUGUCAAAGGUUUUUUAGUUUUUAAUUUUAUCAUUCAAAUCAAAUUUAUGA
This 276-nucleotide long non-coding RNA is filed under the name Populus trichocarpa (black cottonwood). RNAcentral describes it as "long non-coding RNA (PTRI_LNC003890)". Lineage: Eukaryota; Viridiplantae; Streptophyta; Magnoliopsida; Malpighiales; Salicaceae. The record is from RNAcentral.